This 71-nucleotide transfer RNA is filed under the name Nematostella vectensis (starlet sea anemone). It matches the Rfam family "tRNA". From Rfam's summary of the family: Transfer RNA (tRNA) molecules are approximately 80 nucleotides in length. Their secondary structure includes four short double-helical elements and three loops (D, anti-codon, and T loops). Further hydrogen bonds mediate the characteristic L-shaped molecular structure. tRNAs have two regions of fundamental functional importance: the anti-codon, which is responsible for specific mRNA codon recognition, and the 3' end, to which the tRNAs corresponding amino acid is attached (by aminoacyl-tRNA synthetases). tRNAs cope with the degeneracy of the genetic code in two manners: having more than one tRNA (with a specific anti-codon) for a particular amino acid; and 'wobble' base-pairing, i.e. permitting non-standard base-pairing at the 3rd anti-codon position. Lineage: Eukaryota; Metazoa; Cnidaria; Anthozoa; Actiniaria; Edwardsiidae. The record is from Rfam by way of RNAcentral.
GUCUCUGUGGCGCAAUCGGUUAGCGCGUUCGGCUGUCAACCGAAAGACUUGUGAUACAAGCCCACGGGACG